GACGUAGGGCGCGAGCGUUGUCCGGAUUUAUUGGGCGUAAAGAGCUCGUAGGCGGCUUGUCGCGUCGACUGUGAAAUCCCGCGGCUCAACCGCGGGCUUGCAGCCGAUACGGGCAGGCUAGAGUGUGGUAGGGGAGACUGGAAUUCCUGGUGUAGCGGUGAAAUGCGCAGAUAUCAGGAGGAACACCGGUGGCGAAGGCGGGUCUCUGGCCCGGUACUGACGCUGAGGUGCGAAAGCGUGGGGAGCAAACGGG
This 253-nucleotide ribosomal RNA is filed under the name uncultured bacterium. RNAcentral's name for it is "partial 16S ribosomal RNA". It matches the Rfam family "Bacterial small subunit ribosomal RNA", at positions 524 to 776 of the family's 1533-position model. The record is from RNAcentral.